This 74-nucleotide transfer RNA is filed under the name Sarcophilus harrisii (Tasmanian devil). It matches the Rfam family "tRNA". Rfam says of the family: Transfer RNA (tRNA) molecules are approximately 80 nucleotides in length. Their secondary structure includes four short double-helical elements and three loops (D, anti-codon, and T loops). Further hydrogen bonds mediate the characteristic L-shaped molecular structure. tRNAs have two regions of fundamental functional importance: the anti-codon, which is responsible for specific mRNA codon recognition, and the 3' end, to which the tRNAs corresponding amino acid is attached (by aminoacyl-tRNA synthetases). tRNAs cope with the degeneracy of the genetic code in two manners: having more than one tRNA (with a specific anti-codon) for a particular amino acid; and 'wobble' base-pairing, i.e. permitting non-standard base-pairing at the 3rd anti-codon position. Lineage: Eukaryota; Metazoa; Chordata; Mammalia; Dasyuromorphia; Dasyuridae. The record is from Rfam by way of RNAcentral.
GCCUGGAUAGCUCAGUUGGUAAAGCGUGAGAUUCUUAAUCUCAAAGUCAUGGGGUUCAUGCUCCACAUUGGGCA